UUAGUGUUGUUUGUGGCUUUGGUUGGUUUGAUUUUGGUGUUAUGGUUUAUGGGGAGUUUUAAU
RNAcentral lists this transfer RNA (63 nucleotides) under Pallisentis celatus. RNAcentral describes it as "tRNA-Ser". Lineage: Eukaryota; Metazoa; Acanthocephala; Eoacanthocephala; Gyracanthocephala; Quadrigyridae. The record is from RNAcentral.